GGCCGGCUGGCGCAAUGGUAGCGCUUCAGACUUCUAUCACUCCUUUCCUUCGAAAGGAUUGUAGUUAUCUGGAGGUUGUGGGUUCGAGCCCCACGUUGGUCA
Molecule: transfer RNA, 102 nt
Organism: Colletotrichum sublineola
Lineage: Eukaryota; Fungi; Ascomycota; Sordariomycetes; Glomerellales; Glomerellaceae
Rfam family: tRNA
About the family: Transfer RNA (tRNA) molecules are approximately 80 nucleotides in length. Their secondary structure includes four short double-helical elements and three loops (D, anti-codon, and T loops).
Source: Rfam